UACAGAGGUCUCAAGCGUUAUUCGGAUUCAUUGGGCGUAAAGGGUGCGUAGGCGGCGCGGUAAGUCGGGUGUGAAAUCUUGGAGCUUAACUCCGAAACUGCAUUCGAUACUGCCGUGCUUGAGGACUGGAGAGGAGACUGGAAUUUACGGUGUAGCGGUGAAAUGCGUAGAUAUCGUAAGGAAGACCAGUGGCGAAGGCGGGUCUCUGGACAGUUCCUGACGCUGAAGCACGAAGGCCAGGGGAGCAAACGGG
Molecule: ribosomal RNA, 253 nt
Filed under: uncultured bacterium
Lineage: Bacteria
Description: partial 16S ribosomal RNA
Rfam family: Bacterial small subunit ribosomal RNA
Source: RNAcentral